UUUUUCAAAUCAGUGAAAUUAAUCUCCCCGUGAAGAAGCGGGGAUACUCAUAUAAGACGAGAAGACCCCAUGGAGCUUCAAACCCAACUACACCCCUAGCUCUUAUAGCCCCACAACCCCCCUAGGCACCGUGUGCUUGGUUUUAGGUUGGGGCGACCGCGGAGUACAAUAAAACCUCCACAAUGAAUGGGAACACCCCCUUAUCUGAGGGCCACACCCCCUAAGAAUUAGAACACUAACAUAAAAUGAUCCAUUACUUGAUCAAUGAACCAAGUUACCCUGGGGAUAACAGCGCAAUCCAUUUCAAGAGCCCCUAUCGACAAAUGGGUUUACGACCUCGAUGUUGGAUCAGGGUACCCCAGUGGUGCAGCAGCUACUAACGGUUCGUUUGUUCAACGAUUAAAACCCU
This 409-nucleotide ribosomal RNA is filed under the name Mantidactylus melanopleura. RNAcentral's name for it is "partial 16S ribosomal RNA". It matches the Rfam family "Bacterial large subunit ribosomal RNA", at positions 2024 to 2597 of the family's 2925-position model. The record is from RNAcentral. Lineage: Eukaryota; Metazoa; Chordata; Amphibia; Anura; Mantellidae.